RNAcentral lists this unclassified non-coding RNA (164 nucleotides) under soil metagenome. Its description in RNAcentral is "partial contains small subunit ribosomal RNA, internal transcribed spacer 1, and 5.8S ribosomal RNA". The record is from RNAcentral.
UUUCCGUAGGUGAACCUGCGGAAGGAUCAUUAUUGAUUUAGCAAACCGAGCGUUAGCGAGGUUUUGCGAUCGUUUAUAUUUAAAACCCACUCUUGAAUGUAUAAAAUUUUAUGUAUUAAUGAUAAAAUUAAAGAUCACUUUCAACAACGGAUCUCUUGGCUCUC